UACGAAGGGGGCUAGCGUUGCUCGGAAUUACUGGGCGUAAAGCGCACGUAGGCGGCUUUCUAAGUCGGGGGUGAAAUCCUGGAGCUCAACUCCAGAACUGCCUUCGAUACUGGAAAUCUCGAGUCCGGGAGAGGUGAGUGGAACUGCGAGUGUAGAGGUGAAAUUCGUAGAUAUUCGGAAGAACACCAGUGGCGAAGGCGGCUCACUGGUCCGGUACUGACGCUGAGGUGCGAAAGCGUGGGGAGCAAACAGG
RNAcentral lists this ribosomal RNA (253 nucleotides) under uncultured bacterium. RNAcentral's name for it is "partial 16S ribosomal RNA". It matches the Rfam family "Bacterial small subunit ribosomal RNA", at positions 524 to 776 of the family's 1533-position model. The record is from RNAcentral.